Molecule: ribosomal RNA, 891 nt
Filed under: Phytophthora nicotianae (black shank of tobacco agent)
Lineage: Eukaryota; Oomycota; Peronosporomycetes; Peronosporales; Peronosporaceae
Description: eukaryotic LSU rRNA
Rfam family: 5.8S ribosomal RNA (bases 260-414)
Source: RNAcentral
UCCGUAGGUGAACCUGCGGAAGGAUCAUUACCACACCUAAAAAACUUUCCACGUGAACCGUUUCAACCCAAUAGUUGGGGGUCUUAUUUGGCGGCGGCUGCUGGCUUAAUUGUUGGCGGCUGCUGCUGAGUGAGCCCUAUCAAAAAAAAGGCGAACGUUUGGGCUUCGGCCUGAUUUAGUAGUCUUUUUUUCUUUUAAACCCAUUCCUUAAUACUGAAUAUACUGUGGGGACGAAAGUCUCUGCUUUUAACUAGAUAGCAACUUUCAGCAGUGGAUGUCUAGGCUCGCACAUCGAUGAAGAACGCUGCGAACUGCGAUCCGUAAUGCGAAUUGCAGGAUUCAGUGAGUCAUCGAAAUUUUGAACGCAUAUUGCACUUCCGGGUUAGUCCUGGAAGUAUGCCUGUAUCAGUGUCCGUACAUUGAACUUGACUUUCUUCCUUCCGUGUAGUCGGUGGAGGAGAUGUCAGAUGUGAAGUGUCUUGCGAUUGGUCUUCGGACCGGCUGCGAGUCCUUUUAAAUGUACUAAACUGAACUUCUCUUUGCUCGAAAAGUGGUGGCGUUGCUGGUUGUGAAGGCUGCUAUUGUGGCAAUUGGCGACUGGUUUGUCUGCUGCGGCGUUAAUGGAAGAGUGUUCGAUUCGUGGUAUGGUUGGCUUCGGCUGAACAAUGCACUUAUUGGACGUUUUUCCUGCUGUGGCGUGAUGGACUGGUGAACCAUAGCUCGGUGGCUUGGCUUUUGAAUCGGCUUUGCUGUUGCGAAGUAGGGUGGCAGCUUCGGUUGUCGAGGGUCGAUCCAUUUGGGAACUUAAUGUGUACUUCGGUAUGCAUCUCAAUUGGGCCUGAUAUCAGGCAAGAUUACCCGCUGAACUUAAGCAUAUCAAUAAGCGGAGGA